CUCAGUGCUCGCUCAGCAGCACUAAAAUCGGAAUGAUACAGAGAAGAUUAACAUAGCCCCUGAGCAAGGGUGACACACAAAUUCGUGAAGCGUUCCAUAUUUUU
This is a small nuclear RNA of Peromyscus leucopus (white-footed mouse), 104 nucleotides long. NCBI's taxonomy places the organism in Eukaryota, Metazoa, Chordata, Mammalia, Rodentia, Cricetidae. The record is from RefSeq and is a predicted model, not a curated record.